RNAcentral lists this ribosomal RNA (447 nucleotides) under uncultured bacterium. RNAcentral describes it as "partial 16S ribosomal RNA". It matches the Rfam family "Bacterial small subunit ribosomal RNA", at positions 29 to 523 of the family's 1533-position model. The record is from RNAcentral.
AACGAACGCUGGCGGCAGGCUUAACACAUGCAAGUCGAGCGCCCCGCAAGGGGAGCGGCAGACGGGUGAGUAACGCGUGGGAAUCUACCCAUCCCUACGGAAUAGCUCCGGGAAACUGGAAUUAAUACCGUAUACGCCCUACGGGGGAAAGGUUUAUCGGGGAUGGAUGAGCCCGCGUUGGAUUAGCUAGUUGGUGGGGUAAAGGCCUACCAAGGCGCAGAUCCAUAGCUGGUAUGAGAGGAUGAUCAGCCACAUUGGGACUGAGACACGGCCCAAACUCCCACGGGAGGCAGCAGUGGGGAAUAUUGGACAAUGGGGGCAACCCUGAUCCAGCCAUGCCGCGUGAGUGAUGAAGGCCUUAGGGUUGUAAAGCUCUGUCACCGGGGAAGAUAAUGACGGUACCCGGAGAAGAAGCCCCGGCUAACUUCGUGCCAGCCGCCGCCGUAA